Molecule: ribosomal RNA, 497 nt
Filed under: uncultured bacterium
Lineage: Bacteria
Description: partial 16S ribosomal RNA
Rfam family: Bacterial small subunit ribosomal RNA
Source: RNAcentral
GAUGAACGCUGGCGGCGUGCCUAAUACAUGCAAGUCGAGCGAACAGACGAGGAGCUUGCUCCUCUGACGUUAGCGUCGGACGGGUGAGUAACACGUUGAUAACCUACCUAUAAGACUGGGAUAACUUCGGGAAACCGGAGCUAAUACCGGAUAAUAUAUUUAACCGCAUGGUUCAAUAGUUAAAGACGGUUUUGCUGUCACUUAUAUAUGGAUCCGCGCCGCAUUAGCUAGUUGGUAAGGUAACGGCUUACCAAGGCAACGAUGCGUAGCCGACCUGAGAGGGUGAUCGGCCACACUGGAACUGAGACACGGUCCAGACUCCUACGGGAGGCAGCAGUAGGGAAUCUUCCGCAAUGGGCGAAAGCUUGACGGAGCAAAGCCGCGUGAGUGAUGAAGGUCUUCGGAUCGUAAAACUCUGUUAUUAGGGAAGAACAAAUGUGUAAGUAACUAUGCACGUCUUGACGGUACCUAAUCAGAAAGCCACGGCUAACUACGUG